RNAcentral lists this ribosomal RNA (831 nucleotides) under Mutela dubia. Its description in RNAcentral is "12S ribosomal RNA". The record is from RNAcentral. Lineage: Eukaryota; Metazoa; Mollusca; Bivalvia; Unionida; Mutelidae.
AAUAUUUCAUUGAUGUAUAAAGUUAAUUUUAAAAGUCUAAUGGCAUAUGGUAACACAAGUGUUAUGCGAUCUCCAAUAAAAAGUUAAAAACAAAUAAAACAAGUAAAAAGCUACUAAAUAGCAAGCAACCACGCCGCAACACCAAUGCUCUAUAUUAUAAAAGUUAGGAAACUAAGCUAUAGGAACUUUUUUUAAGAGGUGGCACAGUAGGUGCCAGCAGUCGCGGUUACACCUACACCUCAAACUAACUUUCUCACUUCCUAAGCUAAUAAAUAUCUAAUGGCCCCACUAAUAAACCACAUACGUAAAAUCUAAAGACCAAUCACACCCAAAUCACCCAUCAAACCCUAGCUAACAAACCGCAAAAAUAAAACUUGGAUUAGAUACCCAACUAUUAAGCGGCUCAACAAAACAGAAUACUAAAAACUAAAGUUUAAACCUCAAACAAUGUGGCGGUGUUUUACUCCAUAUCAGGGGAUCCUGUUUCUUAAUCCGAUAGUCCACGAGCAACCAAGCUACCUUAGUAAUAAAAACAGCCUGUGUAUGGCCGUCUUCAGCCUGCUUACAAAAAAUAAUAAAAGGAGGCUACUGGUAAUAAUACCAAAAAAUCAGGUGACAUACAGCCAAUAAGUAGCAGACAAUGGGAUACAAAUAUGCACUAAUAUUAGAAUUUUAUUGUAAUAUAAAAUGCAAAGAGGACUUGAAAGUAAGUUAAUUUAAUAAUAAUUAACUGAAUAAGAACUAAAACGUGCACAAAUCGCCCGUCACUCCUACAACAAAAGUGGGAUAAGUCGUAACACAGUUGGGGUAAUGGAAAUUGCCCCUAAUGCA